Acanthopagrus latus (yellowfin seabream) is the source of this 700-nucleotide long non-coding RNA. RefSeq lists it as uncharacterized. The record is from RefSeq and is a predicted model, not a curated record. The transcript is spliced from 3 exons. Lineage: Eukaryota; Metazoa; Chordata; Actinopteri; Spariformes; Sparidae.
AGCCACUGCGAAGCAUCAGAACAAAGAUUAACCAAUGAUAACAUUCUUAAGAGUUAAGAUCGCUUAAUUGGCCUUGCUCUGACUUUUCAACGUUAAAAGGACACUGUGAAACGUGAAUAGAACAAUGUUAUAUAAAACAGAAAACUUGAAACUAACAUCAGCAGGGCUAAUUAGCCACCGCUAGCCCAUUUCCAUUGUUAACAACUUUUACGUGAUGUCUGAAUGAACAUGCAAUUGUUUAAGAUCCUGAGUAAUAACAAGUUUGUACGUUUAAGACUAGACUUUGAAGGCCCCCCCAUGCUACGGAGAUCACGUCGCCUGCUAAAGCAACGGGCUUUGCUAGCACUAAGCUAUUCCACAAAUUACAGUCUUUUAUCUAGUAACAGUCUUAAUACUGGUUGUUCUGAGACUCUGAAACGACUGGGUGCAAAUGUGGCAUGAUAUUCCAAACUUAAAAACGCUAACUGCCGCGGGGUCUCCUCCUCCGAGCGACACCAUCCAAUGGGAGCCGCGGCACCACAAGAUCAACGCGCCCCCUAUCGGCAGCGACAGGAACAGCAGCAACAGUUACCUGCAGUCUAUCAGAUAAACCACCAGUGGAGCAGCCGGUCCAGACAGUGUGACGCAGCAGUUCCUGUCAUGAGUAUUUCCCAAAUUUCUGAGCCUCAGGGGUGAAAGUCUCAAGGAUGUAAGUAUCUGU